GAUGAAGAACGUAGCGAACUGCGAUAAGUAAUGUGAAUUGCAGAAUUCAGUGAAUCAUCGAGUCUUUGAACGCACAUUGCGCCCCUUGGUAUUCCAUGGGGCAUGCCUGUUCGAGCGUCAUUUGUACCUUCAAGCUUUGCUUGGUGUUGGGUGUUUGUCUCGCCUUUGCGUGUAGACUCGCCUUAAAAUAAUUGGCAGCCGGCGUAUUGAUUUCGGAGCGCAGUACAUCUCGCGCUUUGCACUCAUAACGACAGCGUCCAAAAGUACAUUUUACACUCUUGACCUCGGAUCAGGUAGGGAUACCCGCUGAACUUAAGCAUAUCAAUAAGCGGAGGA
RNAcentral lists this unclassified non-coding RNA (336 nucleotides) under soil metagenome. RNAcentral's name for it is "partial contains 5.8S ribosomal RNA, internal transcribed spacer 2, and large subunit ribosomal RNA". The stretch from base 1 to 120 matches the Rfam family "5.8S ribosomal RNA", at positions 35 to 154 of the family's 154-position model. The record is from RNAcentral.